UCAAAAGGAGGUUGUUGGAGAUAAGCAGUCCAAUCCUACUCCGGAGGAUAUUGCUAGUCGUAUAAAUCGGUUAGAGGACCAGGUUAAUCAAGAGAUGUUAUUGCCCUCGGAGCCGAAGCGCGGACGUGGCCGUCCAAAAGGCUCGGGAAAAGGAAGGGAGCUUGUACAUGCAGUUCCGACUAAUAGCGUUAAAAACCGCCUAAGAAAUGCGGAGGGUAUUGGAUUUCAGCAGAACAACUUCGUGGUUGAUCAUAGUAGCAGCAACGCGAUGCGUACUAUGAACAAUAUUCCGAACAUCCGUUGGUCGGAUGUAAUAGACAUGGAAAAUGAUCGCAACAAGGAUGAUUAUCAUUCCAAUAUUCCGA
Molecule: long non-coding RNA, 365 nt
Filed under: Salvia miltiorrhiza (redroot sage)
Lineage: Eukaryota; Viridiplantae; Streptophyta; Magnoliopsida; Lamiales; Lamiaceae
Description: long non-coding RNA (SMIL_LNC011998)
Source: RNAcentral